This 497-nucleotide ribosomal RNA is filed under the name uncultured bacterium. RNAcentral describes it as "partial 16S ribosomal RNA". It matches the Rfam family "Bacterial small subunit ribosomal RNA", at positions 28 to 507 of the family's 1533-position model. The record is from RNAcentral.
GAUGAACGCUGGCGGCGUGCCUAAUACAUGCAAGUCGAGCGAACGGACGAGAAGCUUGCUUCUCUGAUGUUAGCGGCGGACGGGUGAGUAACACGUGGAUAACCUACCUAUAAGACUGGGAUAACUUCGGGAAACCGGAGCUAAUACCGGAUAAUAUUUUGAACCGCAUGGUUCAAAAGUGAAAGACGGUCUUGCUGGCACUUAUAGAUGGAUCCGCGCUGCAUUAGCUAGUUGGUAAGUUAACGGCUUACCAAGGCAACGAUGCAUAGCCGACCUGAGAGGGUGAUCGGCGACACUGGAGCUGAACCACGGACCAGACUCCUACGGGAGGCAGCAGUAGGGAAUCUGCCGCAAAGGGCGAAAGCCUGACGGAGCAACGCCGCGUGAGUGAUGAAGGUCUUCGGAGCGUAAAAAUCUGUUAUUAGGGAAGAACAUAUGUGUAAGUAACUGUGCACAUCUUGACGGUACCUAAUCAGAAAGCCACGGCUAACUACGUG